AAGACUCCUUUAAGGCAGCUGAUGAAGGCAGGUUGGCGGCAUUUGACAUUGCUCUUCCAGAGUGGGGGUCUUCUAACCAACUCAAGGCCACUGUUUGGUGGUCUUGGGUAAGAUCUGUGAGAACUCCCUGGAUUACCAGACAGAGACUCUUAUUUACUUCUCUUACUUUCUCCCAAACAGUCUCUGCCUCUAUGAUGAGCUGCCAGGAGCUUGGGGAGGGGUGACACAAGCACUCCUAUAGCCACCACCACUGGGAGUGUGCUAGGUCCUAUCUGAAGCCAUUACAACACUGGGUCUUGCCCAAGGCCUGUGGUGACAACUGCCUAGCUAUCACUGAUGUUCUCUUGAGGCCCAAGGGCUCUUCAGUCAUGAGGUGGUAAACCCAGCCAGGCUUAUGUCCUCCUCUUCAAGGCAGUGAGAUCCCCCCUGUCCCAGGGCAGGUCCAGAAAUCCAGAAA
Molecule: long non-coding RNA, 457 nt
Filed under: Pan troglodytes (chimpanzee)
Lineage: Eukaryota; Metazoa; Chordata; Mammalia; Primates; Hominidae
Description: long non-coding RNA NONPTRT010551
Source: RNAcentral